UGAUAACGUCUUUGAUAAUAUAAGAAUUUCAAGUAGGAUAUCACCAGUUUGAGCUGGUUUUACUAUUUUAAACUUUUUAUAUAAGCCGUGGUUUGUUGAACUGACGAGAAGUAUAUUCUACGUCCUUGGGAAAGGACAAUGUCUGAUGAAGAGGCAAUUAAAACAGCGGCGACAGUAGGGACAGCGCCGUUGUGGGUACCUGCAGCCGCUGCAGGUGGCAUUGUUUACGGUGCAGGAAAAGGUCUUGAUGCUGCAAAUGACUUUGGGAAGGAGCACGGUCCUAUAGCUGGUAUAGCAGCAGCUCCAUUCAUUGUUGCCGCCAACAUUAUAGCUGGUCCAUUCAGAGGAAUCAAGAAAGUGGGUGAUACGAUGAUAGGGAAGAGUGAUAAAAAGUAAACUACUUAUUGCGUAGCAUUGUGGAAUGGCUUUAAUGAAAUAUUGUUCAAACCAUUAUCAAUGUACGUCUUGUAGUAUGGUAGCAUUUCAAAUUCAUUUGUUUCGAAAAGAUUAUUUCACAUACAAACUCAUUCUACUGCAUUGUACAAUUUGCAUUAUAUAUCAACAGUUUUUAUCAACAUGUCAUGGAAAACAUUAUGAUAAUCAGACGAAGAUAGAUAAAUAAAUGUACGAACUUUGUGGUCUGGCGACCUAAACUUUAAAAGUUGUAGAUUUUUAAAAUGAAUAAAAACGACCCAUAAAAGGUUCUUAAGAUAUAUCGUGUCAUUUAAAAGAUAUAUGAGCAGGAAAAUCACUUUGAGAUAUUUCUUUUUUGAUUUUAUCAUAUUUUGUGUGAAGUUGGCGACCUAGCGACCUGAACUUUUAUAGUUGUUGAAAUUUGAUGAAAACAAUUACAACGACUUUAAUAAUGUUCUUAAGACAUUUUUGUCCUUUUAAAGAUAUAUAAGCAGACGAAUAACUCGAAUAAGUUUCUGAUUUUAAUAUUUUUGUAACGCUGCGGAUAAACUUUGAAAGUAGUUGAAAUUUUGUAAAAAAACUACUACAGCUCUAAAGUUCUUUAAACCUUUUGUUCAUUUAAAAGACAAACAAGAAGAUAAACUUGCUUUAAUCAUUUUUGUGAUCUUGACGGCCUAGUAGCCUACCAGUUUAAACUGUUCAAGUUGUACAGUUUUAUGAAACCAAUUAAAAUGGCUCUUAAUGAAAUUCUUAAUGCAUUUUGUCAUUUAAAAGAUAUAUAAGACCAUUGCUCCACCCAAUUGAAGAACUCAUGGUAUAAAUAAUAAGGAUAACAUAUAUAUAUAUUGCACAUACUAUUAUUACCCAACAUGCUAGUAUAAGAUUUAAACUACUGUAAAAUAACCUAUUUGCAUGAUUUCCCAAUUAUUUUGUUACUUUGCAAUACUUUGCAAACAUUUAUGUUUGGAUUUUUAAAAAAAAACAACUUUUUCAAUAACUUAGUUUAUAACCAAAUUUGUCUAUUAGCACACUAUUUUUAUAUAUAGAUAAACAGUAACUAUAUUUCACAGAUUUAAUUCAACAUAUAGAAAAUAUAUAUAAUUAGAAAAUACAUGAUAAACGGAAGUGUGAAAUGAAGUAAUGUUAUGGCCCGGCCUACACAUAUCUAAGAAGACAGUUUGCUAACAGUGUAUAUAGAAAUGUAUGUAUGACAUUGUAAUAAAGUAUUAGAUUUUAAUGUAAAAAUUUAAAAAGGUGUCUCAUAAGUCAAAAUGGCUGGCCCUUUCAGUAGGGGUGACACUAUAAUAAACAAAACCUUUACCUUUACCUUUUUAUAACAAAGAAUUGUAUGAAAGACAAUAUAACUAAUGAAAUUAUCUAUCAUUUUUAAUAUUCAUUCAUAUAUACAUGUAUACAAGAAAGGUUGAUUUUUUUACACUGAACAUAAACUUGCAAUAAACAUGAUAAAUAUUU
Molecule: long non-coding RNA, 1887 nt
Organism: Ruditapes philippinarum (Manila clam)
Lineage: Eukaryota; Metazoa; Mollusca; Bivalvia; Venerida; Veneridae
Exons: 4
Source: RefSeq, a predicted model, not a curated record